UAAAAAGGCAUCUUUUUAUUUUUAAAAGACCUUUUUCGGAAGGUAUGCUUAAAGAGGGGCUUGCGUCACAUUAGUUAGUUGGCAGGGUAAAGGCCUACCAAGACUAUGAUGUGUAGCUGGACUGAGAGGUUGAACAGCCACAUUGGGACUGAGACACGGCCCAAACUCCUACGGGAGGCAGCAGUAGGGAAUUUUCGGCAAUGGAGGAAACUCUGACCGAGCAACGCCGCGUGAACGAUGAAGUAUUUCGGUAUGUAAAGUUCUUUUAUUGAAGAAGAAAAAAUAGUGGAAAAACUAUCUUGACGAUAUUCAAUGAAUAAGCCCCGGCAAACUAUGUGCCAGCAGCCGCGGUAAUACAUAGGGGGCGAGCGUUAUCCGGAAUUAUUGGGCGUAAAGGGUGCGUAGGCGGUUUAAUAAGUCUAUAGUUUAAUUUCAGUGCUUAACACUGUCCUGCUAUAGAAACUAUUAGACUAGAGUGAGAUAGAGGCAAGUGGAAUUCCAUGUGUAGCGGUAAAAUGCGUAAAUAUAUGGAGGAACACCAGAGGCGUAGGCGGCUUGCUGGGUCUUUACUGACGCUGAGGCACGAAAGCGUGGGGAGCAAACAGGAUUAGAUACCCUGGUAGUCCACGCCGUAAACGAUGAGUACUAAGUGUCGGGAUUACUCGGUACUGAAGUUAACACAUUAAGUACUCCGCCUGAGUAGUACGUACGCAAGUAUGAAACUUAAAGGAAUUGACGGGACUCCGCACAAGCGGUGGAUCAUGUUGUUUAAUUCGAAGAUACACGAAAAACCUUACCAGGUCUUGACAUACUCUGCAAAGCUAUAGCAAUAUAGUGGAGGUUAUCAGGGAUACAGGUGGUGCAUGGUUGUCGUCAGCUCGUGUCGUGAGAUGUUAGGUUAAGUCCUAAAACGAGCGCAACCCUUGUCAUUAGUUGCCAGCAUGUCAUGAUGGGCACUUUAAUGAGACUGCCAAUGAAAAAUUGGAGGAAGGUGAGGAUCACGUCAAAUCAUCAUGCCCCUUAUGAUCUGGGCUACAAACGUGAUACAAUGGCUGUUACAAAGAGUAGCUGAAACGCAAGUUUAUAGCCAAUCUCAUAAAAGCAGUCUCAGUUCGGAUUGAAGUCUGCAACUCGACUUCAUGAAGUUGGAAUCGCUAGUAAUCGCGAAUCAGCAUGUCGCGGUGAAUACGUUCUCGGG
RNAcentral lists this ribosomal RNA (1198 nucleotides) under 'Amorphophallus paeoniifolius' leaf yellows phytoplasma. RNAcentral describes it as "bacterial SSU rRNA". It matches the Rfam family "Bacterial small subunit ribosomal RNA", at positions 181 to 1378 of the family's 1533-position model. Lineage: Bacteria; Bacillati; Mycoplasmatota; Mollicutes; Acholeplasmatales; Acholeplasmataceae. The record is from RNAcentral.